GACGAACGCUGGCGGCGUGCUUAACACAUGCAAGUCGAACGGAAAGGCCCUGCUUUUGUGGGGUGCUCGAGUGGCGAACGGGUGAGUAACACGUGAGUAACCUGCCCUUGACUUUGGGAUAACUUCAGGAAACUGGGGCUAAUACCGGAUAGGAGCUCCUGCUGCAUGGUGGGGGUUGGAAAGUUUCGGCGGUUGGGGAUGGACUCGCGGCUUAUCAGCUUGUUGGUGGGGUAGUGGCUUACCAAGGCUUUGACGGGUAGCCGGCCUGAGGGGGUGACCGGCCACAUUGGGACUGAGAUACUGCCCAGACUCCUACGGGAGGCAGCAGUGGGGAAUAUUGCACAAUGGGCGGAAGCCUGAUGCAGCAACGCCGCGUGCGGGAUGACGGCCUUCGGGUUGUAAACCGCUUUCGCCUGUGACGAAGCGUGAGUGACGGUAAUGGGUAAAGAAGCACCGGCUAACUACGUG
This 468-nucleotide ribosomal RNA is filed under the name uncultured bacterium. Its description in RNAcentral is "partial 16S ribosomal RNA". It matches the Rfam family "Bacterial small subunit ribosomal RNA", at positions 28 to 507 of the family's 1533-position model. The record is from RNAcentral.